Long non-coding RNA from Dermacentor andersoni, 852 nucleotides. RefSeq lists it as uncharacterized. Lineage: Eukaryota; Metazoa; Arthropoda; Arachnida; Ixodida; Ixodidae. The record is from RefSeq and is a predicted model, not a curated record.
CACAGUCGACUGCUGGCUACGCGCGGGCGAUUGCCAGUGCGACACUGCCCCUGACGCGCCGCAUAAGCAUAACCUGUGCUGUGAAAAACCGAGCACUUUUCAUGAGUUUCUUUGAAGUAGACUUUUUUACCUUUUAGUGUGAUUAUUGUUUCUUUUGUUUUACAGUUUUGGACAAGUUCGUGAAUGUGCUAGUUGGUGGCCAUCACAUUUCACACAAUGGUCUGUACCAGUACAGUUGUUCAAGGGGUGGUGUUGGAUUCAACAUUUCGCACGGAUACAUCUGCACAGCAAGCUCACUGCUGCUUGUCAUGCAAAGAGAGCAGAAGCAGUCUAAAAGCUCGCUUGCUACACUGCAAAAAGAAGGCUCGACUACAGCUUACAAACAUUGCUGGGAAGCGGCUACAGUAUGCCAUGCGUACCCUACGACGAAGGAACAAGUUGUGCUCGCUACAGGUUGCUCUAAAAAAUCUACAAGAAAAAAACAUGGCAAUCAAGGCAACCUUUUUCAAGCGAGAGCUUAAAGAGCUCCCAAAAAAGACAGCAAUCUGCUGUGCGUGCGUGCUUUGAAGCGUCAAGGAGAUACUCCAACCGUGGGUACUGUUAUAACAAAGAAUGGCUGCUGGAAUGUAUCCUCCUGUGAAUGAAAAGUGCACGACUGUAUGAGCACUUGAGAUCCCACAAAAUCCUUGUGCUACCUAGCAGAGUCCGUCUGCAAAGAUAUAUGAAUGUAUUUGAGCCGUGCCUUAUUUUUUACAUGAACAAAAAAAGUUACUGAUGUUUCUAUUUACAGGGAUUCAAAGCUUCGUAUUGGUUCAGUGCCAAGCUUCUUGGGUGUGUUAAAAAAAAGUUGAA